AACCCUAGGCCAAAACAGAUUCCACACGUGCACAAAUUUAUUAAAAAUCAUCAAAAAAAAGAGGACAUUACAAGGAUCAUGGCAGAAAAAAUCUCAUGUUGAUUGGAUUAUUAUUGAGAGAGUUAUGAAUUUUCUAUUGAGAAGAAAAAAUAAAAAAUAAAAGUGAAACAAGCAUGUGAAUAUGAUAAGUAUAGCAUGGAAAAAAUACAAGGCAAAUGAAUUUUGUAUGGAGCGGGGAAUCGAUCCCCUAAGCAAUUCAAAUUGAGGCGCCACUUAAGUGAAACUCCGUGUUUCACUUAAGUGCG
RNAcentral lists this long non-coding RNA (305 nucleotides) under Lathyrus oleraceus (garden pea). Its description in RNAcentral is "Pisum sativum (pea) long non-coding RNA (PSAT_LNC034215)". Lineage: Eukaryota; Viridiplantae; Streptophyta; Magnoliopsida; Fabales; Fabaceae. The record is from RNAcentral.